GGGAAGUCUACUGGCAGUUCGACGGACUAAACAGAAGCAGGAAGAUGCUUGCUUUGACUAACGGAAGUGUAAGUUAGUGGCGGACGGGUGAGUAACGCGUGGGCAACCUGCCCCAUACCGGGGGAUAACACCUGGAAAUAGGUGCUAAUACCGCAUAAGCGCACAGGACCGCAUGGUCCGGUGUGAAAAACUGAGGUGGUGUAAGAUGGCUCCGCGUCUGAUUAGCUUGUUGGUAGGGUAACGGCCUACCAAGGCGACGAUCAGUAGCCGGACUGAGAGGUUGAUCGGCCACAUUGGGACUGAGACACGGCCCAGACUCCUACGGGAGGCAGCAGUGGGGGAUAUUGCACAAUGGAGGAAACUCUGAUGCAGCGACGCCGCGUGAGGGAAGACGGUCUUCGGAUUGUAAACCUCUGUCUUUGGGGAAGAAAACGACGGUACCCAAAGAGGAAGCUCCGGCUAACUACGUGCCAGCAGCCGCGGUAAUACGUAGGGAGCGAGCGUUGUCCGGAAUUACUGGGUGUACAGGGAGCGUAGGCGGGCGAGAAAGUUGAAUGUUAAAUCUACCGGCUUAACUGGUAGCUCCGUUCAAAACUUCUUGUCUUGAGUGAAGUAGAGGCAGGCGGAAUUCCUAGUGUAGCGGUGAAAUGCGUANAUAUUAGGAGGAACACCAGUGGCGAAGGCGGCCUGCUGGGCUUUAACUGACGCUGAGGCUCGAAAGCGUGGGGAGCAAACAGGAUUAGAUACCCU
This 750-nucleotide ribosomal RNA is filed under the name uncultured bacterium. Its description in RNAcentral is "bacterial SSU rRNA". It matches the Rfam family "Bacterial small subunit ribosomal RNA", at positions 56 to 788 of the family's 1533-position model. The record is from RNAcentral.